UCAAUGCAGCCUUUAAACCCAGAGGGAACUCGAGAGGUUACGCUACUUAGAAAAUAAAAUUAAAUAAGUUAUGUCGUAUGUUACAUUUGGGAAGCGGCCCUUGAUCAGCCCAACCUGAGCUGUUCUAACUGCACUUAGUGCAAACCCACACUCACAAAUUCGAAAUAUUGGGACUGUUUCAAACUUAGGGUGAAAUAUUCCAAACAAAUCAGCUCCCCGCGAAGUGAGAACAGCCUUUUGUGUUAAAUGUACAACCAACAUAAAGGUUGCGGAUAUUCACUGAUGCCAGUCAACAUCCCGUGUACUAUUUACAGAGCCCAGGAACACUGUUGACCGGGUUCAUCGAAUGAACUUUUUUUUCCUGUUUAAGAGCUCUUGUUUCCUCUCUCUGCCCCACUCCCUCACUCGCUCGGGCAUGUCUGUGUAUUAGUGCAGGAAGUCGAUUCCACUUCAGCGCCUCAUCCUUCCCCACAUUAGCUAUUGUGCGUCAGGAAUCGGCGGCACAACCCUCUGGCGAAAUGAAUUUCUGGAUGAAAUCAAAUCGAAACGCCGAUUAUUUUCAGCCAACAGGUUCCGAUUUAAACGGGGUGAGCUCUGCGGUUCAAAUGAGGAAUUUCGUUUCCAAGGACCCGUUUUGCAGCGUUCGGAGAUUCAAGCAGCAGGCAGUAGUGACUGGAACAGUAUCAAUUCUCAAUGUUUCACAUUCUCCUGAAGAAGCUCGGCUCCUGAACGCGCAUCUGUCUUUGGAUUCUAACAGAUUUGAUGCUCCAGCGUCAACUUUCCGAAACACGGUAACCACUCUCCUUAAAUGAGGCCCAAGACUGGCUGUUCUGCCCCUUUUCCCACACAACACAAUAAUAGGCCGCUGAAGAGGAAAUCUGAGAGGCGGUUGGGUGGAAGGAUGAGGACAAACUGCAGAGAAGGACUUAACGCGACAUAGUCGCAGUUGAUGGGCCGAAUCAUCCUCAGUUUCCGUGAUUUCAUUCCGGAUUGUGCAAAACCAGUGUUGAUGGAAAUCAUUGACGAGAGUUUGUAAUAGAAUCUUAUGAAAAUGUACGCGUGUUAUGUUUCACAUUUUUAACCAAUCUUUACUAAACCCAAAAGAUUGAAGCAUCACACAUACACGUAGACACACGGCCGGGGACAGGUACACGGAGGUACAGAUACACAUACAGGCGUACACACAGGGAGACACCUUCCUCCUAAACACACACAUAUACAGCCACGGACACAGACACAGAGCGAUUGGCAUGCACACACAUAGAUACACACUCACAGGCAGUGACAUACCCAGACACACACACACACACACACACACACACAUAUACAGAGGGACGCACCCAUCCAAAGACACAAGCACAUACAUGGGCAAACACUCAGGGAAACAUAUCCCCACACGUACAGGCACAUAAACCCACACACAGACACAUUCACGGAGUCAAAGUGACACAGACAAAAGGUGACACAUACACGCACACGAAGUUGCACAGACACACGGGCAUACCCACACACACAACAAACGAGCCUAGUUUUAUUCAAAGUAUUGAUUUUUUAAAAGAAUUUGGCCACUUUGCAAUGAAUGGUCUCCGAGCAUUCCUGGACUACUUAGGUAAUGAUGUGGAUUUAGCGGCUAUGCAGUUGCCUAUUGACUCACGAUCACAAUACAAUGACCCAGCUGACCUCUGUCUGACCCCUGACCCUGAGCGAACUCAAUCCACCAUUAAAGGGGCAGGGACGUGCAUACAAAAGCCUGGCUUUUGUUCUUCAUUAACAGACUGGGGGAGUGGGGGGAGCUGAGUUGCAAAUACAAACAUGCUGGCUCGCUGAAGGCAAACAUUAAAAAAGAACCUUGUUUUGCAAUGAAACUACAUUAAAUCACAACGCGAUCACUCGGA
Stegostoma tigrinum is the source of this 1895-nucleotide long non-coding RNA. RefSeq lists it as uncharacterized. Lineage: Eukaryota; Metazoa; Chordata; Chondrichthyes; Orectolobiformes; Stegostomatidae. The transcript has 2 exons. The record is from RefSeq and is a predicted model, not a curated record.